This 555-nucleotide long non-coding RNA is filed under the name Homo sapiens (human). Its description in RNAcentral is "non-protein coding lnc-WDR1-4:1". Lineage: Eukaryota; Metazoa; Chordata; Mammalia; Primates; Hominidae. The record is from RNAcentral.
AGAUCAUGUGCCCUAGCAACAAUGGAACUUUAUUAUUUAGAAGUCACCCCUUCUCCUAGGAAAGGAAAAAGAUAUAUCACCCAUGCUCAAAGAAAAUGAGCCAAACUUGAGUUUAGGAGAUGGCAGCCACACACAGCAGGCUGUCUUGUAAGGGGCACAGCAGCAACCCCAGGCCACAGAGGGCAGAGCCUCCAGGACCCAUCACUGGAGAUGACUGCCUGGGCAGACUCACUUCACCGUUAGAGAAGUGUGGCCUUCCCUGGUGGCUCUAGGUUCACAGUACACAGAAUUACCUGCUUUGAGGCAACGCUUCUCUUACCAAGUAGUGACUUAAGAAACAAGAUGUAUGUAAUACUAGUGCCUGGGAAGGAAAAACCACCAAGUAUGGAAGAGAUCAGUUAUGACAGCAGACAGCCUCUUUCACAAAGUACACUGAAGGAUUCCCGGGUCACUGCCUAGGAUGGCUCCUCCGGCUGCAUUCCAAGCCUUUUAUUCUACUGUUCCAUCGUAUUAUCAGUUCAACUGCAGCUGCCCUCAGCAGCACUGAGAGCUGAC